Molecule: long non-coding RNA, 1032 nt
Filed under: Pan paniscus (pygmy chimpanzee)
Lineage: Eukaryota; Metazoa; Chordata; Mammalia; Primates; Hominidae
Description: lncRNA (ENSPPAG00000044923.1)
Source: RNAcentral
CUUUACUCUGUUAAUAUAGAUAAUUAAGUUAAUUUUAAUGCUGUGUUCUCAAGUAAUCCAUACCUGGUCAAGUUCAAUUACUCAUUUAAUACUAGUGGAUUCUAUUUAGGCAUUUUGCUUAUGUUUAACAAGUCGGUUUAUUGUUUAGAGAUGGAGAGUACUUGUGUCAGGGUUCCAUCAAGGUACAGAAAAUAUACCAGUUAUUUGAUUACAGGAAAUUUAACGUACAGAAUGAUUAAUAGAACAUGGGUUACUAAUAAUGAAGGUUGGGGUAAAAGAGGACUGUAAGCGGUCCAGAAAUAGCAAGUGCAACAAAGCAGCUACUAUUUUUAGGCCAGGGAAGAGAGUCCGAUAAAAGAACUAAAGAGUAGGAGAGCUGCCUCCCCUGAAACAGAUACUCUCCAGUGGUAAGACUCAGAUUUCUUCAUCAAGAAAAUGGCUACCACAGUAAAAUGCAGCCUGCCAAAGAUGAGAAAACUCACCACCAGUCAUAGACCAGAGCUAAUUUCUGAGGGCACUGUAUUGCCAGGUCCCUGGAUGUGGUGUGAAGACUGUUCUCUACAAAACUCUAGAAGGCACGAUUUUCAUCAGAUUCACAGCCAGCGUGGCCAUACACAUGUCCAUAGAGGUGAGGGGGAAAAAGAAACCACUCAGGUUAUUACUGGUGGCAGAGCUGGAUCAUUAACCACAAGCGCGAUGAAUAUGGCAAGUAAAGCAUUUCAAGCAACAACUGCAACUCAUGAAAGUGCCACAAGUUAUGAGAGAACUAACAUUCAGAAAAUUAGUUCAUCAAAGUUGGAACUUUCAUUGAAAGUGUGAGAAACGACAAAGAAAAUCAGCUGUCUACAGGAUCUGGGACACCAUCACGAUGCUCAUUCCUAAAGUGGCCAUUCACAAAAUGACUUUGGCAGAAAACAGAAUCUUUUAGAAAACAGCUUCAGGAAGUCAUUUAAUUUGAAGGAAAAUAAUCGCUUCUCAAUCUGCACCGUCCACCGUGCACCGUGCACCGUGCACCGUAGGACAAGAAAGAAU